Molecule: long non-coding RNA, 368 nt
Organism: Gossypium arboreum
Lineage: Eukaryota; Viridiplantae; Streptophyta; Magnoliopsida; Malvales; Malvaceae
Exons: 2
Source: RefSeq, a predicted model, not a curated record
AGGGGGUUCGUGUGUGGAUCUCGUCAGCAUAUCGUCGCAAAUAGGUAAUCCCCAACCAUAGUGGGCUUGGAGCUGUGAGGGAAUUCGGAGUGGCCACCCGUUCUGAAAGUUUGAUUUUCUUCUGGUGAACUGGACAUCCUUUUAUUUACGUUUGAAUUUUUGGGUUUUUUAAAUGUAAUAAGGCCGCUUAAUUAUUUUUGAUGGUUUUAAUAUGUAUUACUAAGAUAGGUAUUACUUAUUUUAACUGUUGAAAUUGGAUAGCUUUAGGGCGCGUUUUCAAAAACAACAAUUGAUUUCAAAAUAACACAACAACAAGCAAAGCUUCCGUAAUGAAAGUAUUUUCCAAAAUUAAUCACUUCUCCUAAAAA